UACGGGGGGAGCAAGCGUUGUUCGGAUUUACUGGGCGUAAAGGGCGCGUAGGCGGCCACCGCAAGUCAGUUGUGAAAUCUCCGAGCUUAACUCGGAAAGGUCAACUGAUACUGUGCGGCUAGAGUGCGGAAGGGGCAACUGGAAUUCUUGGUGUAGCGGUGAAAUGCGUAGAUAUCAAGAGGAACACCUGCGGCGAAGGCGGGUUGCUGGGCCGACACUGACGCUGAUGCGCGAAAGCCAGGGGGGCGAACGGG
This 254-nucleotide ribosomal RNA is filed under the name uncultured bacterium. Its description in RNAcentral is "partial 16S ribosomal RNA". It matches the Rfam family "Bacterial small subunit ribosomal RNA", at positions 524 to 776 of the family's 1533-position model. The record is from RNAcentral.